GCCGGCGUGGUGAAAUUGGUAGACGCGCUAGACUCAAAAUCUUGUAUCCGUGAGGAUGUGUCGGUUCGAGUCCGACCGCCGGUACCA
Molecule: transfer RNA, 87 nt
Filed under: Prosthecobacter fluviatilis
Lineage: Bacteria; Pseudomonadati; Verrucomicrobiota; Verrucomicrobiia; Verrucomicrobiales; Verrucomicrobiaceae
Also listed under: 3 other names
Description: tRNA-Leu
Rfam family: tRNA
About the family: Transfer RNA (tRNA) molecules are approximately 80 nucleotides in length. Their secondary structure includes four short double-helical elements and three loops (D, anti-codon, and T loops).
Source: RNAcentral